RNAcentral lists this transfer RNA (704 nucleotides) under Streptococcus porcinus. The stretch from base 233 to 305 matches the Rfam family "tRNA". The record is from RNAcentral. Lineage: Bacteria; Bacillati; Bacillota; Bacilli; Lactobacillales; Streptococcaceae.
AAGGAAAUGGAAGACGUUUGGUCAUGUCUUAUUUAAGUUUUGAAGCGGUCUUAUUUAAGUCAUGAACACACGUUAAGAAAUCUGUAUGAAAAUAGGAAAUUGACGCUGUGUGCUUGCACAGAAGGAAAAUUUAUCUAUUUUCACUAAGAUUUUAGUUCAGAAUACUAUUAAGCUUCACGUAAUAGAACUACGUACCACACACUAAUAAUAGUAACAACCAAGUUUAUAAGUCGGGGCCUUAGCUCAGCUGGGAGAGCGCCUGCUUAGCACGCAGGAGGUCAGCGGUUCGAUCCCGCUAGGCUCCAUUAUCUAGGAUACAAAGAGAUGUUCGGCUUGCCGAAAUUUCUGUAGAAAAUUAGGAAUCUGACACAGUGUGCUUGCACACAAGGAAGGUUAUCUAUUUUCCUAAGAAAUUAAUCUCGUGUUCAACUAGAUAAAUGAUAUUUGAAUACGAACCUAAACUUACUAGAAAUAAGUCAAAACCAUCUCGUGUCUGAAGACACAUCACUGGUUUGUUCCUUAUUUUACGCAAGUUUUACGACAAGUCGUAACGGUUCUUAAUAUCAUAAUAGUCCAUUGAAAAUUGAAUAACUAUAUCAAAUUCCACGAUCAUACAAAUGAUUGUAGAAAAGUAACAGAAAUAAACCGAAAAAAAGAUAAACGCGAACAUAUUAAAAAAUAAGAAGGUCGAAAGACUGGAAUAA